Molecule: transfer RNA, 71 nt
Filed under: Loxodonta africana (African savanna elephant)
Lineage: Eukaryota; Metazoa; Chordata; Mammalia; Proboscidea; Elephantidae
Rfam family: tRNA
About the family: Transfer RNA (tRNA) molecules are approximately 80 nucleotides in length. Their secondary structure includes four short double-helical elements and three loops (D, anti-codon, and T loops).
Source: Rfam by way of RNAcentral
GCAGUGGUAGUUCAGUGGUAGAAGCCUUGCCUUCUAUGCAGGAAACCUGGGUUCAGUGUCCAGCCAAUGCA